GGAACCCCAUGAUAGAUGGCUUCCUGAACUCCAUUGGUGCCUCCAUGUGCCACAAACACUUUAGUUUGAGGAUGUCCAAGCAGGUCAUUCUGAGGGAGCCAGUCCACAAGUAAGGUAUUGUUACCAAGGGUCACAGGUCGAGGUCCUAUAUAUCUCCAAAUCACUUUUUGAG
This is a non-coding RNA of Pimephales promelas (fathead minnow), 172 nucleotides long. Lineage: Eukaryota; Metazoa; Chordata; Actinopteri; Cypriniformes; Leuciscidae. The record is from RefSeq and is a predicted model, not a curated record.